This 320-nucleotide ribosomal RNA is filed under the name uncultured bacterium. RNAcentral's name for it is "bacterial SSU rRNA". It matches the Rfam family "Bacterial small subunit ribosomal RNA", at positions 470 to 789 of the family's 1533-position model. The record is from RNAcentral.
UGACUGUACCCGAGAAGGAAGCUCCGGCUAACUACGUGCCAGCAGCCGCGGUAAUACGUAGGGAGCGAGCGUUAUCCGGAAUUACUGGGUGUAAAGGGAGUGUAGGCGGGACUGUAAGUCAGAUGUGAAAUAUACCGGCUCAACUGGUAGACUGCAUUUGAAACUGUAGUUCUUGAGUGCUGGAGAGGCUAACGGAAUUCCUAGUGUAGCGGUGAAAUGCGUAGAUAUUAGGAGGAACACCAGUGGCGAAGGCGGUUAGCUGGACAGUAACUGACGCUGAGGCGCGAAAGCGUGGGUAGCAAACAGGAUUAGAUACCCUG